GCCAUUAAAACAACAAAGAAGAAGAAGAAGUGGAAACGACGCUCGUCCUCUAGUGGUCAAGCGAUGUAUUAGUUUAAUUUCUGAUGACACGAACGAUUACUCAUACUGUUCCUGUUUGUUGCUGAGGGGUGCUGCUAUUUAAAAUGACCAGGCUUAUGGUUUUCACCUGCUGGACCAUGAAUCCGGUGAAAAGUCGCUCAGGGACACAUCAAACGAGGGACCUGGACACAUCUACAGACCAGAAUAUGACAGAGUCUAUAUUAUAUCAGACAUGUGGGCUCUUUGGACCAGUAAACAACCAACCACCCACUCACUAAGAGCACACUAGAGCUGAAACUGGAGCAGGAGUGAAUAUCUUGAGUCCACAUAGCCUAUUUGUGUCUGAACUACCAUUAUCAUUGGAAACUCAAGAUGCUGAAGAUCACGACUGCAGCUAAAAUCAACAGAGAUCCAGCAGCAGCAGAGAUCAACACUAUCAGAGAGACUGAAUCAGGAGGAUAUGAAGGACAGUAAAAGAGAUGUAAUCUGUAGGUGUUUUUAUCCUGAUAUUCCACCUCCAGAGGUAGAGAGAGACUGAUGCUGAGAUCAGACACACUGAUGCUGGACAAUAAACUGUUUCCUUUGUACCAGGAGAGAGACACAUGACUCACAUUCAACACUGAACACAACAAUAAACAAUUCUGCUGUGAUGAUGAUGAUGAUGAACAGUUUGAAGAGUUACUGCUGAUGACAGGAACAGGCAGGCCUGCAGCAGUGGUGGUGUUAUGCUGUGGGCAAUGUAGGGACAUUUUAGACCCCAAUAUCCCAAUAACACUAUCCCUGACAGUUGUCAGAUAUCUGAACAUCGUUGCGGACCAAGUGCACCCACUCAUGGCAACUGUUCCCUGAUGGUCAUAACCAACAGGAAAAAUGCGCCAAGCCACACUGCCAGAAUUAUUAAGGAGUGGUAUGAGGAACAUGAUGGUGAAUUUCUGUUAAUGUCUUGGCCUCCAGAUUGUAGUGGACAGCACAUUCCAGGGCCCAGUUUAUUGCAAGGGGCCCUCCCCAACCACAUAGUGGACAGAGGUUUGCUACAUUUUGAUUGGAUCUUGGUGAACUAACAUAAGCAAACGGUCCAAUGGCAUCAGAUAAAGAUGCCAGGACAACAGCCAGACCUCUCUUAGAGCACAAGAAGACCACCUUUGGUACAAAGCCCAGGAAGGACAGGACUUCCUUUCGGUCAAAAUGCAGUUUGUGCCCUUCACCCACCUUGAGACUGUUCCUAAUGGUUUGGUUUGUGACCGACCAUAAAAAUUCCUUAGGACCUCCAGAUGCAGCAGCAGUGGGUGAAACUAAGAGAGAUCAUGGAGAUCCAUCCAAAUCCAUUCAUAACCGUUUUCAAACCUUAAAACUGAUGCACACUACAACACAGACAUUUUAUACUUAUUCAGAGAAAUAAGUAUUCCUCUUACAGCAACGUGUAGUGCAACAUCUUACACAAACUCAGCUGUUAAUGGACAAAUGAAUGCAUGCAUGACAAUCUUUUCCCAUCAUGUUUGGACUUAAUGUGUUCAUAACAUUGCCAAAUGCAUUCUGGUUAUGGUUUGAGAAGUGAGAAAUGCACUUUUCUAGCUUUGUGUUUGGACUAUACACAUAAAUUCCACAGGAGGAAAGAAGGGUGGGCCACCUCGUGUCCCCCCACUCUGAUGGAACCAGCCAAUCACAGCAUGGAAAUGAAGAAGCGCCAAAUUGCAAUCUCCUCCUCAUCGGAAAGGGAUAAAGGUACCCUUCCAAAAGACACUCCUUGUUCUGAGUCUGCUACCCGUGAGGGAAGGGACAAACGGAAUACCACGUUCUGAGUCUGAGUCCUGUGAAGAAAAAGGCACAAACAAGACAACCUGCGUUCUGAGUCUGUGACCCACAAGGGUGAGACAACAACAGAUACCAAGUCCAAGUCUCCAGCUUUUGAGGCAGCAACAGAUACACGUUCUGACCACGUUCUGAGCCUCCAGCCUGCGAGGAAAGAGAUAAUCUACGUUCAGAGUCUUCGUCCAGCGAGACAACAACUGAUGCAGCAUCCUGAGUCUCCAUCCUAUAGAGACAAAGCGGAUUGACCAAGUUCUGAGUCUCUAGCCCAGAGAGGCAGAAGACAGUUGCAACAAGGUUAAGCUCCGGCGAGCAAACCUUCACUUCAGGUACUUUUGCUUGCAUGUUCCAAGCUCAGGACCUUCAGCGCCUACUCCAGGGCCACGUCUGCGUGUUCCAGAUCUCAGGAACCUUGGUGCUCCAGGAGAUCAGAAACCUACAGCGCUUCAUCUUCAAGGCUGUCGAAACGGAUUCCUGCUCCUUUGCCCACUGUACUGCCACCAGCGCACCCAGUGGAAGAAGUCGCCACAAUCGGACUGCUCACUCAACCACAGAGAACGUAAAUAUCACUUCCAAACCUCUUCCGGAGACCUUGGCAUUGUUGUACAUUAUCAGUAUAUGAUUUUCUAAUUUACAUUAGGUAUUAUAUAGCUGAUUGCAGUUGAUAAAUAUUACAUGCAUUUAUUUGAUGCAUAAUAAGGUUCUUUACCUUAUUUGUUUCAGAGUAGCAACAGUUUACUUUCUAGAUAACAUAUGUUCUUUGCUCUUAUAAACCCCAUAAAUUGCAGCCAUCAUAAUCAUAAUUUGUUUAUAUUUGUACAGGUGAUAAUAUACAGGUAUAAUAACAUUUCUAAAAAGACAGGCUUAUUUACUGUUUAAUCCCUUUAAAGAAAAAGACGAAUUACCCCUGUUUACCAAUUAGAAAUAUAACUAGUCAAACUUAAAGAAGAACCCACAAAUAUAAGGAAACAAACAGGACCAUCACAUCAAGAUGUAAUUUUGAUUCAGUUGUUACUUUGUAUGAACUGAAGAGAGAGUGCUUACAGAGGUAAAAUAAAACCUCUCCAAGCAAAGAUAAUAUAUAUGUUAUUAAAUGCCCGUAACUCCUGUCAACUGUUGAAUGAAUCAGUGUCCCAUUCCCGCUUGUUUACUUUGAACGCAAGGCCUCAUGGGGCGUAGGAAACUUGUGGAUACCAAAAAAAGUUGGACAACUGCGUCAAACUGGUUGAGUAACAUUACCCACUGUCUACUUUUAAGUGUGUUUCUUAAUAUUUAUACCUCUGUGAUUAUAGUAUCUUUCCUUAAUAUCUGAAAUGUCUGUUAGCAAAUGGUAUGCUAGCAUAGCAUAUCUGUUUAUAAUGAUGCUAAGCAUGGAACGUCAAUGCUUUCUUUCAUAUUUCGCUGUAUAUCAUAUGUUUUUAUUAAUAUUUUGAGUGUAUUUUACGGUUCAUAUUUGUAUGUUUCUCAAAAUAAAUCAACUGAAUUAA
This is a long non-coding RNA of Labeo rohita (rohu), 3332 nucleotides long. RefSeq lists it as uncharacterized. The record is from RefSeq and is a predicted model, not a curated record. Lineage: Eukaryota; Metazoa; Chordata; Actinopteri; Cypriniformes; Cyprinidae. The transcript is spliced from 6 exons.